AUUCCAGCUCCAAUAGCGUAUAUUAAAGUUGUUGCGGUUAAGAAGCUCGUAGUUGGAGUUCUGCCAGGUGACGCUCGUCCGCCCAAGUGGUGUGUACAGGGCGUGCAUCUGGCCCUUUCAAGAGGAGCGUAUUUGCACUUAAUUGUGUGGUGCGGGAUCCUUGACUUUUACUUUGAGGAAAUAAGAGUGUUCCAAGCAGGCUCUCGUCGUGCAUAGCUCAGCAUGGAAUAAUAGCAUUGGAUCUCGAUUCCAAACUGUUGGUUGUAGGAAACGAGAUAAUGAUGAAGAGGGAUAGUUGGGGGCAUUCGUAUUUAACUGUCAGAGGUGAAAUUCUUGGAUUUGUUAAAGACGAACUACUGCGAAAGCAUCUGCCAUGGAUGUUUUCAUUA
This 389-nucleotide ribosomal RNA is filed under the name Syndiniales sp. RNAcentral's name for it is "partial small subunit ribosomal RNA". It matches the Rfam family "Eukaryotic small subunit ribosomal RNA", at positions 582 to 975 of the family's 1831-position model. Lineage: Eukaryota; Dinophyceae; Syndiniales. The record is from RNAcentral.